RNAcentral lists this non-coding RNA (30 nucleotides) under Rattus norvegicus (Norway rat). The record is from RNAcentral. Lineage: Eukaryota; Metazoa; Chordata; Mammalia; Rodentia; Muridae.
UGAUACAGUGAUGGAGAGAUAUUUAGGACC